CGAAAGAAAAUUGAGUAAAAGAGAACAUCAGUUGAGCUUUCAUUAUCGACUAGAAUUUUUUUUACAUCAUAGUUUGCUAUCAUCGUCGAAAUGAUGAUAGCAUCAUCAUGGAGAGUUUGUAUCCCCCUAACAUCAUCUUUCAAAAAAAAUUAUAUUAUCAAGUUAUCAUUUCUUUACCAACUCUUCUUUGGAAGCUACCCCC
Molecule: long non-coding RNA, 202 nt
Filed under: Elaeis guineensis (African oil palm)
Lineage: Eukaryota; Viridiplantae; Streptophyta; Magnoliopsida; Arecales; Arecaceae
Description: long non-coding RNA (EGUI_LNC005836)
Source: RNAcentral